GGCCACUGUGGUGUAGUGGUUUGAGCGUUAGACUAGGAUUCUGGAGACUAGGGUUCGAUUCCCCACUCGGCCA
Phrynosoma platyrhinos (Desert horned lizard) is the source of this 73-nucleotide non-coding RNA. The record is from the annotation of a GenBank genome assembly. NCBI's taxonomy places the organism in Eukaryota, Metazoa, Chordata, Lepidosauria, Squamata, Phrynosomatidae.